This is a long non-coding RNA of Alligator sinensis (Chinese alligator), 1662 nucleotides long. RefSeq lists it as uncharacterized. The transcript has 5 exons. The record is from RefSeq and is a predicted model, not a curated record. NCBI's taxonomy places the organism in Eukaryota, Metazoa, Chordata, Crocodylia, Alligatoridae.
AAACGGCAGACUUCAAGGGACAACACCAGGGUUGUAGAGGAAACAUUUAAUGUGGAGCAGACACACGAGGACUAUUAGUGGAACGGAGAGAUGACUCAAGCAAUCUGGCUAAUGUACAGGACACUUGAGCACAACGGUGACCUCAUUGCAGACUCCCAGCCCAGGGUAAUCUGGGAUGUAUCACAGGUCAUCCCCUGCAGUCAUUACUGCUGGAGAAGGGCUCUCUGCGCAGGGUGCCAAAGUCCAUACUUGGAUGCCAAGAUACAAGGAGCCUGAUUUCCCGAAGUGUUCAGCACUUAGAAGUUCGUCUGGGAUUAAUGGGAGCUGCGGGCGUUCGGCACCUCUGACCGUGUCUUUGUACCUGGAUUUGCGCUCCUGACAUGACACGCGCGCGCAGGACUCAAAUCCCCGGGCUGGUGUCUGGUCCUGCCUGGGCUGCAGGGCAGGGGUAGCACCGAGACCCUGUUUGGAGGAAGGGAAGGGCUGUCGUGGCAGUGAAGCUACUCAGCUGGCUGGAGGGGCAGAGGGCAUGCCUGGCUGGACGGGAAAUUCAAUAAUGCACAGCGGAGGAAAAGAAGUUAACAUCACAUAGGCCUGGUCCAGGCCUGUCUGGCAAGUGCGGCUACAGAGGAGGAGAAAGGGGAUGACGUAUGAGUUGCAACCUGGGCUCGGACCCCAGGGAUGAUGGAACAGCACCAGGGCUGGCCUUGGCCCUUACUUCAGAUGCAGCGGUCCAUGGGUACCACGUGGCCAGCGGGGACGUGUAUCUCUGCCUGCAGCUGGGAUGAACUGGAACUGCUCAGCUGGGCUAACAGACUGCUGCUCCACAAGCUGUGGGAAGCUGGGGCUGGAGUGAGUGUGGUCAGCUGGGGCCCAUGGCUUGGGAUUCCCAAAAGGUGCCGAUGGGCCCUUGCUCAUGGACACAGAGCUCCUCACACCCUGCCCUGGGGCUGGCUAGAAGCUGACCCUUCUCCAGUAAGACGGUAAAAUCUGCAAUCCCAUAGGGCUCCACUUAAUUAAAUGCCUUGCAAGCUUAAUACCGGCCCAGCAAAAGGGACCCCUUAGGGCCAUAUACCUUUGAGGGUAUACAGGGAAUCUGGCUUUCCCCACCAGACCAGGCUCUUCAGGCAGAAACCUAAGUCAGGCAAUGGAAACAAUGUCUGGAAAGGAUUUCCAGGACCUGAAAGUUAAUGCAGCGCAAAGCUGCCCUUGAGUGCUUGGAAGGUUUCCCCCUUUGCCCCUGACGCAUGGCUCCAUGCCACAGCUGCUCCUUUCCAUUGGCUUGACUGCGCAUUGUUCUCCAUCAAGAUUUUUUAUCAUCGUAUAUGGUCACAUUGUGGGAUUAAAAUGAAGCCUUUAUGGCUCUUGGAGGCUCUGGGUGAGCUGCCCCUCUGGGAUGCAUUAAUAUCAGAGGAGCCCAGCUUGUAUCUUAUGAGCAAGCUCUCACCCUCCUAGCAUACUAACCUGGGGUCUCCUUCAUUGACUAUGUCAGAGCAAGCGUCAUUUUGUGGUUGGGCAGGUUGUACGGUUGUGCCCCGACUUCAAGUUACAACUUGGCCGGCAGAAGCCCAAGCUGCUUCUGUGCACAGCACUUCCAGGGUUAGCAUUUCUUUUGCAAACUGCUUGAGGAUUAUGAGUAAAGUAGGACAAGAGGCUUAUUAA